GCAAAACAAAUGUGUAAAGUUAGCUAUACAUGUUUAAUCACUUGAAGAAAAGCACAUGUAACUUUCGUGAUAAAAAUGUGAAUGUCCUUUAAAAUGCAGCUGGGAUUGUUUAGUUGACAUUCGUAUUUGAAUUAAGGAAGAGUAUUAGUGAAAUUUAUUUAUUUUAAGGUAGCAUCUUUUGAGGCCUGGAUGAUCAACCUACUUUUCUAAGGAAGGACCCUUAUAUCUGCAGAAGAUGGGAUAACAAAUGUGCUCUGAGCUCAGGCUCUAACCUGCUGAAUGUGGGUAAGUGAAGAAGCACACCCAUCUUCUCCUUAUACCAACAAACCUAAUAGCCAAAAGAUAGUCAGAAAGGAUAUAUGGUGAGAUAGAAGGUAAAGAGAGAGCUUGUGAAGGUGGAGCAGCAUGAGUUCCACUACUUUGGAUCCCAAGGUCAGCUAGAAAUAAAACUUUUUAACCUACUAAGCUCUCGCAUAUUCCUCUGCAGGGCUGUCAUAAUCUCUGAUCACUUUUUUAACCACUUUUUAACAGCCAAAACAGCUGUUACAGAAAUAGUAAUUAAAAAACUUCAAACAGAAGUAUGAAAUUGAUAGUCUCAACAAUUUGAAAAUAAAUGGGUACUAUUGUAACCAUGAUAUAAAUGCUAUCUGUUAAACAAUCAAUUGCAUCCAUUAGUAUUCUCUCCAAACUACCUCCUUUUCAUUAGGCAGUGUUCCAUAUAUCUCAAGAUCAUAUCAUCUGAAGAAGUAGGUUUUGCCCAUGAAAGCUCAUGAUACUAUAUCCAUCUAUCCAUCUAUUAGUCUCUAAGGUGCCACAGGACUACUCGUUUUUAAAGUUACAGAUUAACACGGCUACUUCUCUGAAUGUUCCAGGAAGGUGCAGUAAAAUCAGAAAAACAGGAGUGGGAGUGAAAGCUGUUGUGAAAAAUAUUAGGUUUCUAAUGAAGAUAAACAAUUGAACAGCUCUGAAGAAAACAAAGAAUAUUACUAUAUACAAUACUAAGUGCUAAAAAGUGAGCAAUGAGUAAUAACAACUGUGGCAUCACAUAGACAUAUUAGGGAUAUGCUCUAUGAGCCCAUCUUUUGUACCUCACUGAUUGUGAAAAAGCACUGGAGACGAUAUCUGCAACGGCAGAGCUAGUGUAUCUGGCUCCUAUUGCUUUCCUUAACCCCAGCAACCCUCUAUAUAGGGAACAAGUUUGAAAACAGUGCAAUUCAAUUAUCCAAGAUGCUCUCUUGGAGACUGCAUCAGUUGUUGAAAACUAGAAUGCAUCCAAUUCAAGCAUCUCCAGCCUAGGCAAAGCUGGGAAGAGAAUCAGGGAUACAUAGCUGGGCUUCCAACACUGAGCCAAAUAAACUUAGGAGAGGAUCUGGCUCUACUUCUCUAAAAAUAUAGGUUCACAUACCUAUAAAUGUGUACUAAUGCGAGAAGUAUGGGGAAUAAGCAGGAUGAACUCAAAAUGCUAGUAAAUAAACAGAACUAUGAUAUAAUUGGCAUCAUAGAUUGGAUGAGAUAAUAUGAUGGGAUAAUAUGCAUGGCUGGAAUAUUGAUGUAUAAGGAUACAACUUGCUCGGGAUGGACAGGCAUGGAAAAAAGUAAAUGUUGCCUUAUAUAUUAUAAAGGUAUACACUUGGCUUGAAGUUGAGAUGGAAAUAGGACACAGACUUCUUGAGAGUCUGUAAGUAAGGUUAAAGGGGGUAAAAAACAAGGGUGAUGUCAUAGCAGGCAUAUACUGCAGACCACAUAACCAGGAAGAAAAGGUCCAUGAGGCUUUUUGUGAAGAACUAACAAAAUCAUCCAAAGCUCAGGACUUGGUAGUGAUGGGGGACUUCAACAAUCUAAAUAUCUGUUGGGGGAAAUAAUACAGGUUAUCCAACAAGUUCCUGGAAUGUAUUAGAGACCACUUUUUUAUUUCAAAAGGUUGAGAAAGCUACCGGGGAGACGCUGUUCUAGAUUUUGUUUGUCAGUCAGCUGGUAUUUGUGUUUCAUUUUCCUGGACCAGGGAUUCGAUGGUACUGCCUGUAAGUUCCUUUCCUGAUUGCAAGGGAGAGGGGUCUCUGUUCAAGAAUGGUGAGAACAACUGGGCUUAGAGAAGCUAAGCUAAGUAUUUCCUCAAAGGUGGUGCCCCAAAGUCCAUCAUGAUGAUGGUGGUCAGAGCAAAGUGCUUGACCCCAGUGUGUGUAUAGCGGUGGGAGGGGAGGAAGGAGUGGAUUGUUGAACUUUUUUUUUCUUUUGAAAGGUAAAAUCUGACUGCAGACUUUUGAAGACAAAAGAAUUAAUGCUUCAAUUAGUUAACUACAAGCGGGUUCAGGAAAUGGAGCAUGAGGUGCAGCGUGCUCUCUCACUCUCUCUGUGCCUACACGGAGCUGGGGAUACAGAACAGCUUGUUCAAGUGUCUGCAGAUGGAGCACAAAUCCUGUUUGCACAGCUCCAUGAAAAUCUCACACAGGAACUUUUUAAUCCUUCUCACAAGAUUUUUGGGGAGGCCAGCCUUAUGCCAUCCUCCGCGGUAGGACAUCUUCCCACACCAAGCCACCAGUAAGUGAAGUGGUAGCAUGGAACCACAAACCAUAAGGUCCAGGUUUAUAGCCGCAUUCAUUCAGCAUUCACUCUCCAUUACUUGUGGUGAUUCGGAGAAGACUGAUAUCUCACAUGGCAACCUGGAGGGGGAAGGAUGAGGGGAACCUAUUAGCAGUCUCCCCAAGACUACAUGUGCUGAAUACACACACACACCCCUCUCACGGACAGGAAAAGAAGAAGUAUGCCACAUGUGCUGGACCCAGCAUGUUGCAGACUCAGCAUGAAGCCAACCCACCUCUUCUCCCUCCUGCCUGCAAACUGCUGCCUUGCCUGGGAAAGCACCAUGUCCCCAGAAGGUCCCAUAUGUUGGACCCAGCACGUGCCAGACACAGUAGGACGCCACCCUCUGCCACCACUCCCUUCCCACUUGCAGUCUCCUGGCCUGGCAGGCUGCUUACCAUGCUUGCCUGCCUCUGAUCAAGUGUGUCCUGAUGCUCCCCUGAGAUAUCUGGGCACCUACUAUAAAGUGCCCACUUUAAAGCUAACAUUUGGCCUUGCAUGGAACAAUUCUCCAUUGUCUUUACAAAGACCUUUGGUGUAUGGUAAGAGAUUAGGAGUAGGCUUCACACAAUGUAUCUACUGUUACAUCUGCCCUUGUAACUUGUCUUUGCAGCUGGGCUGACUGCCAGCUAGGUGUGUCCUCAACCUUACACUCCAUCUGCCUACCUGGCUCACAUCUGCAGGCACAAAUGCAUGAGCAAAGAAUGUUCCUGGAGCAAAUGGACUGCAUGCACACCCUCAUGGCAGAGAUCCAGGCAGAGCGACAGGAACAGGUUGCAGAGUGGCAGGAGAGGAGGGCUCACUAGACAGCAUAAAACAAUGUUUUCCAUCCUGACCACUGUCAUGGAACCAGUGGCAAUGUGCCUGAAGAGGGCCACUUCAUAGAACCCCAUCUGCCCUGAAGCUUCCACCCCCAGGGUUGCCAGGGGCCGCAGGGGCCCCAGGACAUGGGGAAUUUCAAGGGAAACCAGAGCCUCCAGGCCGUCAGAAGGCAGAAGAUAGUCCCACUCCUAUUCCUGAGCCCCCUUCUGGUUCCCAAUUCAUUCCUUUCCCUGUUGUUUUGCCCCAAAUGAAAAUUCCUGUUAUUUGCACAAUGGUCUUUUUAUUGGUUAAAUGCAGGGGAUAGAGUGGUGUCGGGGAUUAAAGGCAAAACCAGGAAACACAGUGCACCUUGUGAAAAGCCACAGGGAAGAGAGUCUCAAAAGAAGUCUUGCACAAAACUGUCCUUCAAAGUGUCUCUGAUUCACAUUGGCCCUUGCUGUGCUCUCCUUAUGGUGCUGAUGUCUGGCUGCUCAAACUCUUGGGCCAGGAGCUUUGACUCAGCCUCAAAUCCCUAAAUGGCCUCUGUAAGGAUUGAACUCACAACCCUGAGUUUAGCAGGCCAAUGCUCAAACCACUGAGCUAUCCCUCCCUGCAAAGCUAUCCCUCCCACCCCAACAGAAACAUUAUCCCCUUGUUCUCACACAAGUUGUGAAGCACACAACAGGCCAACACUACAAAGGGAAUGUUGUGUUUGCUGAAAUCCAAGCAGGUCAGGAGACUCCUGAAACACCCCUUUCAACAUCCAAAUGCACAUUCCACCACCAUUCUGCACCUGCUCAGACUAUUGUUGAACUCCGUCUUGCUGGGAGCCACGCUGCCCAUAUAGGGGUUCAUGAACGAUGGAAGCAAAGUGUAGACUGGGUCACCCAGAAUCACAAUGAGCAUCUCCACUCUCCAACUCGGAUGUUCCAAUUGGGGAAAAAAGUUCUAGCAUGCAUCUUUCGGAAGAGGCAGUACUUUCAAAACAUGUGGGCGCCACGCAUCUUUCCUGACCAACCCAUGUCGAUAUCAGUGAAGCAGAUUUUGUGAUCUAUGAGAGCCUGAGGUGCCAUGAAGAAGUACCCUUUGCAACUGAUGUAUUCCGAGACACAGGGCCAAGAUGGGUAUGUGUGAGCCAUCUAUGGCACCACCGCAGUUAGGGAAGCCCAUAGUGGCAAAGCCACUAUGUUGCCCAUGUUCCCCAGAGUCGUAACCCUCCAUAGCAGGAUGUUUUUGAUGGCCUUGGCUACUUGUAUAAGAACAGCUCUGACAAUAGUUUCCCCAACCCCAAAUUGAUUCCUAUCUGACCGAUAGCUGUCUGGUGUUGCAAGCUUCCAGAAAGAAAUUGCCAUGCACUUCUGCACAGUAAGAGUAGGUCUCAUGUAGGUAUUCCGAUUCCUCAAGGCAGGGGCAAGCCUUUUACAGAGUUCCAGGAAUGUGGCCUUGUGCAUGUGGAAGUUCUGCAGCCAUGGCUGAUCAUCCCAUCCCUACAUCACAAUGCAGUCCCACCAGUCUGAGCUUGUCUUCCAAUGCCAGAACUAGCAUUAUACUGUAUGCAGGGGACUAACUAGCAGCUGUGCUCACACGAACAUCAGGGUUUGCCUGAAUGGUGCCUCCGCAUCACGCCAAGGUUCGUCCUUUUCCUC
Molecule: non-coding RNA, 5027 nt
Organism: Pelodiscus sinensis (Chinese soft-shelled turtle)
Lineage: Eukaryota; Metazoa; Chordata; Testudines; Trionychidae
Source: RefSeq, a predicted model, not a curated record